AUUGAACGCUGGCGGCAGGCUUAACACAUGCAAGUCGAGCGGUAGCACAGGGGAGCUUGCUCCCUGGGUGGCGAGCGGCGGACGGGUGAGUAAUGUCUGGGAAACUGCCUGAUGGAGGGGGAUAACUACUGGAAACGGUAGCUAAUACCGCAUAAUGUCGCAAGACCAAAGUGGGGGGCCUUCGGGCCUCACACCAUCGGAUGUGCCCAGAUGGGAUUAGCUAGUAGGUGGGGUAAUGGCUCACCUAGGCGACGAUCCCUAGCUGGUCUGAGAGGAUGACCAGCCACACUGGGACUGAGACACGGCCCAGACUCCUACGGGAGGCAGCAGUGGGGAAUAUUGCACAAUGGGCGCAAGCCUGAUGCAGCCAUGCCGCGUGUGUGAAGAAGGCCUUAGGGUUGUAAAGCACUUUCAGCGAGGAGGAAGGGUGAUGUGUUAAUAGCACAUGACAUUGACGUUACUCGCAGAAGAAGCACCGGCUAACUCCGUGCCAGCCGCCGCGGUAA
RNAcentral lists this ribosomal RNA (506 nucleotides) under uncultured bacterium. RNAcentral describes it as "partial 16S ribosomal RNA". It matches the Rfam family "Bacterial small subunit ribosomal RNA", at positions 29 to 523 of the family's 1533-position model. The record is from RNAcentral.